Molecule: long non-coding RNA, 246 nt
Filed under: Betta splendens (Siamese fighting fish)
Lineage: Eukaryota; Metazoa; Chordata; Actinopteri; Anabantiformes; Osphronemidae
Description: lncRNA (ENSBSLG00000005834.1)
Source: RNAcentral
AGAAACGCACGUGCCAGAGGUUUGCGACCGCAGAUAUGGAUCUGUACACUUUAUUAGGCCCCGUCUCCUGUUGCUGGGGAACUGCCCCAUCAUGAGCGUUUCUCACCGGGACACUGACCCCUGGUUGUUCCUGCAGGUCCACAGACACGCACAGGCCUGAGGGAAUGCCAGCGACACGGAGGAGAGGGACUGGAGACAGGCAGCCGGGGAAAUAAAGGAAAGAAACUUGGUCUAGAGGAAGACCCG